UGCCCCUUAUACGCUGGGCUACACACGUGCUACAAUGGGUAGUACAGAGAGUCGCAAAGCCGCGAGCUGGAGCUAAUCUCAGAAAACUAUUCUUAGUUCGGAUUGUACUCUGCAACUCGAGUACAUGAAGUUGGAAUCGCUAGUAAUCGCGAAUCAGCAAUGUCGCGGUGAAUACGUUCUCGGGUCUUGUACACACCGCCCGUCACACCACGAGAGUUGGUUGCACCUGAAGUAGCAGGCCUAACCGUAAGGAGGGAUGCUCCGAGGGUGUGAUUAGCGAUUGGGGUGAAGUCGUAACAAGGUAUCCGUACGGGAACGUGCGGAUGGAUCACCUCCUUUCUAAGGAGUAUAUGUCUUUCUCUAUUCUAUUGGUAAUGUUCUUUACAUUACUUCUGAACAUUGGAAACUAUAUAGUAGAACAAACAAGAAAAAAAAUUAACUCUAACAAUUUCUUAGAGUUAGCUGUCAAAAAAUAGGUUAAAAUAAUUAAGGGCACACAAAGGAUGCCUUGGUAGUAAGAGCCGAUGAAGGACGUGGUAAGCUGCGAUAAGCCUAG
RNAcentral lists this small RNA (556 nucleotides) under uncultured Fusobacterium sp. RNAcentral describes it as "bacterial SSU rRNA". The stretch from base 1 to 339 matches the Rfam family "Bacterial small subunit ribosomal RNA", at positions 1196 to 1533 of the family's 1533-position model. The record is from RNAcentral. Lineage: Bacteria; Fusobacteriati; Fusobacteriota; Fusobacteriia; Fusobacteriales; Fusobacteriaceae.